Molecule: ribosomal RNA, 801 nt
Filed under: uncultured bacterium
Lineage: Bacteria
Description: bacterial SSU rRNA
Rfam family: Bacterial small subunit ribosomal RNA
Source: RNAcentral
GCUCCUCUGAUUCAGCGGCGGACGGGUGAGUAACACGUGGGCAACCUGCCUGUAAGACUGGGAUAACUUCGGGAAACCGGAGCUAAUACCGGAUAACUCACGAGACUACAUGGUCUUAUGAUAAAAGAUGGUUUCGGCUAUCACUUACAGAUGGGCCCGCGGCGCAUUAGCUAGUUGGUGAGGUAACGGCUCACCAAGGCGACGAUGCGUAGCCGACCUGAGAGGGUGAUCGGCCACACUGGGACUGAGACACGGCCCAGACUCCUACGGGAGGCAGCAGUAGGGAAUCUUCCGCAAUGGACGAAAGUCUGACGGAGCAACGCCGCGUGAGCGAUGAAGGCCUUCGGGUCGUAAAGCUCUGUUGUUAGGGAAGAACAAGUAUCAGUUAACUACUGGUACCUUGACGGUACCUAACGAGAAAGCCACGGCUAACUACGUGCCAGCAGCCGCGGUAAUACGUAGGUGGCAAGCGUUGUCCGGAUUUAUUGGGCGUAAAGCGCGCGCAGGCGGUUCUUUAAGUCUGAUGUGAAAGCCCCCGGCUCAACCGGGGAGGGUCAUUGGAAACUGGGGAACUUGAGUGCAGAAGAGAAGAGCGGAAUUCCACGUGUAGCGGUGAAAUGCGUAGAGAUGUGGAGGAACACCAGUGGCGAAGGCGGCUCUUUGGUCUGUAACUGACGCUGAGGCGCGAAAGCGUGGGGAGCAAACAGGAUUAGAUACCCUGGUAGUCCACGCCGUAAACGAUGAGUGCUAAGUGUUGGAGGGUUUCCGCCCUUCAGUGCUGCAGCUAACGCAUUAAGCACU